GACGAACGCUGGCGGCGUGCUUAACACAUGCAAGUCGUACGGUAAGGCCCUUUCGGGGGUACACGAGUGGCGAACGGGUGAGUAACACGUGAGUAACCUGCCCACAACUUUGGGAUAACGCUAGGAAACUGGUGCUAAUACUGGAUAUGUGCUCCUGCUGCAUGGUGGGGGUUGGAAAGCUCCGGCGGUUGUGGAUGGACUCGCGGCCUAUCAGCUUGUUGGUGGGGUAGUGGCCUACCAAGGCGGCGACGGGUAGCCGGCCUGAGAGGGUGACCGGCCACAUUGGGACUGAGAUACGGCCCAGACUCCUACGGGGGGCAGCAGGGGGGAAUAUUGCACAAUGGGCGCAAGCCUGAUGCAGCAACGCCGCGUGCGGGAUGACGGCCUUCGGGUUGUAAACCGCUUUCAGCAGGGACGAAGCUUUUUGUGACGGUACCUGCAGAAGAAGCACCGGCUAACUACGUG
This 465-nucleotide ribosomal RNA is filed under the name uncultured bacterium. RNAcentral describes it as "partial 16S ribosomal RNA". It matches the Rfam family "Bacterial small subunit ribosomal RNA", at positions 28 to 507 of the family's 1533-position model. The record is from RNAcentral.